GACGAACGCUGGCGGCGUGCUUAACACAUGCAAGUCGAACGGAAAGGCCCUGCUUUUGUGGGGUGCUCGAGUGGCGAACGGGUGAGUAACACGUGAGUAACCUGCCCUUGACUUUGGGAUAACUUCAGGAAACUGGGGCUAAUACCGGAUAGGAGCUCCGGCUGCAUGGUGGGGGUUGGAAAGUUUCGGCGGUUGGGGAUGGACUCGCGGCUUAUCAGCUUGUUGGUGGGGUAGUGGCUUACCAAGGCUUUGACGGGUAGCCGGCCUGGGAGGGUGACCGGCCACAUUGGGACUGAGAUACGGCCCAGACUCCUACGGGAGGCAGCAGUGGGGAAUAUUGCACAAUGGGCGGAAGCCUGAUGCAGCAACGCCGCGUGCGGGAUGACGGCCUUCGGGUUGUAAACCGCUUUCGCCUGUGACGAAGCGUGAGUGACGGUAAUGGGUAAAGAAGCACCGGCUAACUACGUG
RNAcentral lists this ribosomal RNA (468 nucleotides) under uncultured bacterium. Its description in RNAcentral is "partial 16S ribosomal RNA". It matches the Rfam family "Bacterial small subunit ribosomal RNA", at positions 28 to 507 of the family's 1533-position model. The record is from RNAcentral.